UCGCGCCUGUAUCUUGCUGAACCGUUACAAUUGUCACAUCCAAAUCCGGUUGAGCAAAAUUUCAGGUGUGUGA
Molecule: microRNA precursor, 73 nt
Filed under: Drosophila mojavensis
Lineage: Eukaryota; Metazoa; Arthropoda; Insecta; Diptera; Drosophilidae
Description: Dmo-Mir-87-P2-v1_pre stem-loop
Rfam family: mir-87 microRNA precursor family
Source: RNAcentral